UACGGGGGGGGCAAGCGUUGUCCGGAUUUAUUGGGCGUAAAGAGCGUGUAGGCGGCCAGGUAGGUCUGCUGUGAAAACUCGAGGCUCAACCUCGAGACGUCGGCGGAAACCAUCUGGCUAGAGUCCGGAAGAGGAGAGUGGAAUUCCUGGUGUAGCGGUGAAAUGCGCAGAUAUCAGGAAGAAUACCGGUGGCGAAGGCGGCAUCCUGGACCGGCAUUGACGCUGAUGAGCGAAAGCUAGGGGAGCAAACGGG
This 253-nucleotide ribosomal RNA is filed under the name uncultured bacterium. RNAcentral's name for it is "partial 16S ribosomal RNA". It matches the Rfam family "Bacterial small subunit ribosomal RNA", at positions 524 to 776 of the family's 1533-position model. The record is from RNAcentral.